Molecule: ribosomal RNA, 1884 nt
Filed under: Vibrio splendidus
Lineage: Bacteria; Pseudomonadati; Pseudomonadota; Gammaproteobacteria; Vibrionales; Vibrionaceae
Description: bacterial LSU rRNA
Rfam family: Bacterial large subunit ribosomal RNA
Source: RNAcentral
CGGGAGACACACGGCGGGUGCUAACGUCCGUCGUGGAGAGGGAAACAACCCAGACCGCCAGCUAAGGUCCCAAAGUAUAGCUAAGUGGGAAACGAUGUGGGAAGGCUCAGACAGCCAGGAUGUUGGCUUAGAAGCAGCCAUCAUUUAAAGAAAGCGUAAUAGCUCACUGGUCGAGUCGGCCUGCGCGGAAGAUGUAACGGGGCUAAGCUAUACACCGAAGCUGCGGCUACGUACCUUAGGGUAUGUGGGGUAGGGGAGCGUUCUGUAAGCCGUUGAAGGUGGUCUGUAAGGGCUGCUGGAGGUAUCAGAAGUGCGAAUGCUGACAUGAGUAACGAUAAAGGGAGUGAAAAACUCCCUCGCCGGAAGACCAAGGGUUCCUGUCCAACGUUAAUCGGGGCAGGGUAAGUCGACUCCUAAGGCGAGGCCGAAAGGCGUAGUCGAUGGGAAACGGGUUAAUAUUCCCGUACUUCUUACAAUUGCGAUGGGGGGACGGAGAAGGCUAGGUGGGCCUGGCGACGGUUGUCCAGGUUCAAGUAUGUAGGCGGAAAGUUUAGGUAAAUCCGGACUUUCAUUAACGCUGAGAUACGAUGUCGAGCUACUACGGUAGUGAAGUCAUUGAUGCCAUGCUUCCAGGAAAAGCCUCUAAGCUUCAGAUUGUAAGGAAUCGUACCCCAAACCGACACAGGUGGUCGGGUAGAGAAUACCAAGGCGCUUGAGAGAACUCGGGUGAAGGAACUAGGCAAAAUGGUACCGUAACUUCGGGAGAAGGUACGCUCUUAUCAGUGAAGUCCCUUGCGGAUGGAGCAGACGAGAGUCGCAGAUACCAGGUGGCUGCAACUGUUUAUUAAAAACACAGCACUGUGCAAAAUCGUAAGAUGACGUAUACGGUGUGACGCCUGCCCGGUGCCGGAAGGUUAAUUGAUGGGGUUAGACUUCGGUCGAAGCUCUUGAUCGAAGCCCCGGUAAACGGCGGCCGUAACUAUAACGGUCCUAAGGUAGCGAAAUUCCUUGUCGGGUAAGUUCCGACCUGCACGAAUGGCGUAAUGAUGGCCACGCUGUCUCCACCCGAGACUCAGUGAAAUUGAAAUCGCUGUGAAGAUGCAGUGUACCCGCGGCUAGACGGAAAGACCCCGUGAACCUUUACUACAGCUUGGCACUGAACAUUGAACCUACAUGUGUAGGAUAGGUGGGAGACUAUGAAAUUGCGUCGCUAGAUGUGAUGGAGUCGUCCUUGAAAUACCACCCUUGUAGUUUUGAUGUUCUAACGUUGGUCCCUGAAUCGGGAUUACGGACAGUGCCUGGUGGGUAGUUUGACUGGGGCGGUCUCCUCCCAAAGAGUAACGGAGGAGCACGAAGGUGGGCUAAACACGGUUGGACAUCGUGUGGUUAGUGCAAUGGCAUAAGCCCGCUUGACUGCGAGAAUGACAAUUCGAGCAGGUGCGAAAGCAGGUCAUAGUGAUCCGGUGGUUCUGAAUGGAAGGGCCAUCGCUCAACGGAUAAAAGGUACUCCGGGGAUAACAGGCUGAUACCGCCCAAGAGUUCAUAUCGACGGCGGUGUUUGGCACCUCGAUGUCGGCUCAUCACAUCCUGGGGCUGAAGUCGGUCCCAAGGGUAUGGCUGUUCGCCAUUUAAAGUGGUACGCGAGCUGGGUUUAGAACGUCGUGAGACAGUUCGGUCCCUAUCUGCCGUGGGCGUUGGAAAAUUGAAAGGGGCUGCUCCUAGUACGAGAGGACCGGAGUGGACGAACCUCUGGUGUUCGGGUUGUCAUGCCAAUGGCAUUGCCCGGUAGCUAAGUUCGGAAUCGAUAACCGCUGAAAGCAUCUAAGCGGGAAGCGAGCCUUGAGAUGAGUUUUCCCUGGCACUAUAAGUGUCCUAAAGGGUUGU